Molecule: ribosomal RNA, 496 nt
Filed under: uncultured bacterium
Lineage: Bacteria
Description: bacterial SSU rRNA
Rfam family: Bacterial small subunit ribosomal RNA
Source: RNAcentral
GAUGAACGCUAGCGGCAGGCUUAAUACAUGCAAGUCGAGGGGCAGCGGGAGUAGCAAUACUUGCCGGCGACCGGCGCACGGGUGCGUAACACGUAUGUAAUCUGCCCAUCACAGGAGGAUAGCCCGGAGAAAUUCGGAUUAAUACUCCAUAAUAGAAGAUAAAGCAUUUUAUUUUCUUGAAAGUUCCGACGGUGAUGGAUGAACAUGCGACUGAUUAGUUUGUUGGUGAGGUAACGGCUCACCAAGACUACGAUCAGUAGGGGUACUGAGAGGUUAAACCCCCACACUGGUACUGAGACACGGACCAGACUCCUACGGGAGGCAGCAGUAAGGAAUAUUGGGCAAUGGACGAAAGUCUGACCCAGCCACGCCGCGUGAAGGAUGACUGCCCUAUGGGUUGUAAACUUCUUUUGUAUGGGAAGAAAUUCCGAACGUGUUCGGAGCUGACGGUACCAUAAGAAUAAGCAUCGGCUGACUCCGUGCCAGCAGCCGCGGU